UCUCAAGUUACAUACCUGAUGACAGUACGAAUGGAAAUUAUAAAAGCGAGUUUUUAGUUUUUAAACUAUACUUUUUUUACCUAUUCACUAAAUAGAAAGAUCCAUUACAGUGAAAGGUGAGCGCUACCGAACAAUGACAAUGGACUUUUGUUUGUAUGAAAUCGUUAAAGAUAAUUAUUAUGCUUACCAUUUAGCAGCGACUGAGGAAUGAAAAUAGAUCGCUCGAUACAGGGGGAAAUUCUUUUUUUUCUGUAGCGACGUUUAAAAUAAAUAAAGGUUGUUCAGGGAGGCAACGAAAUUGGGUGAUCGCAUAGGCCGCUAAGGGCAACCAAAUAAUAAAACUGCAAAACAUUCCUAGUCCGACUCGCCGGCUCUCUUUAUACCAGGCGAUUUUUGUCGAACACGAAGUGGUUAGAUUAGUAUGAUACUGGGCGCGAAAUAACAAUUUUAACAAUUGAAAACCUGAAAUUGAUUUUUUUUUUAAUUAAUCAAUGACUUUAAAUUCGUAAAUUUAUCAAAAUAUGAGCAAAGGUCGCACUUGAUUUAUACUAUCAAAAUGGCGAUGUAGAAUGUGAGCAAACUCAAAGUCGCAUUAAGAAAAAGUUAAUGAAUUAACUUAAAAGGCGAUAAUAAUAAUCACAAUGUAAUUCCUUAAAAAAAAAAUUGUUUUAAGUUAAAAACAUUUUCCAUUCGGCCAUAAAUCAGUGAACAGGUGCUAUAUAUUUGGUUUAAAGAUGCCCUGUAAUAAAAUACUUCGAUGAUAGCUAGUAGUAUAGGUGGAAAAUGCGCGUCGGGUAAUAAAAAAUAAAUAAAUUAAAAAACUUUGACGUACAAAUAAUUAAAUAAAGCAAAAUCAAAUUAAAAAUUAAAUAUGUCCGCUGAAAUGGGCAAUAAAAGAUAGUAGAUAUAUAAAUGUAAUACAAACAAAAAAGCAAUAAAUCGCAGUAAAUUUCAUGAUUAUUCAUCCCACACAUUUCCCAAAACCCACAUUCCCACCUACAGACUUUUUAUCAUCAUUCAACCACUGUCCUCCGUGUGUCGUAUCGUAUUUCGAAACGAAUGUGCAAUAGUGCACACUGACUUCGUUUUAGGAGAAAAUUCUUUCUUGUAAACCCACUCGCGCUUAGCUAAUAAUAAAUAAAUGGGAUAGAAAGUGGCAAUGCUUAAAUAGUAAAUGUAAAUUGGGUUAUAGA
This is a long non-coding RNA of Rhagoletis zephyria (snowberry fruit fly), 1193 nucleotides long. RefSeq lists it as uncharacterized. The record is from RefSeq and is a predicted model, not a curated record. Lineage: Eukaryota; Metazoa; Arthropoda; Insecta; Diptera; Tephritidae.